GACGAACGCUGGCGGCGUGCCUAACACAUGCAAGUCAACUUGAGGGAAGGAGCAAUCUGACCUGAUGGUGGCGCAAGGGUGCGUAACGCGUAAGUAACUUGCCCAAGGUAAGGAAUAACGUCGAGAAAUCGGCGCUAAUACCUCAUAAUGCAGCGGAUCCGCAUGGAUAUGUUGUUAAAGGUUUACCGCCUUGGGAUAGGCUUGCGUCUGAUUAGCUAGUUGGUGUGGUAAUGGCACACCAAGGCUACGAUCAGUAACUGGUCUGAGAGGAUGAUCAGUCACACUGGAACUGAGACACGGUCCAGACUCCUACGGGAGGCAGCAGUGAGGAAUAGUUGGGCAAUGCACGAAGUGUGACCCAGCAACGCCGCGUGGAGGAUGAAGGUAUUCUAUAUCGUAAACUCCUGUGAGAGCAGACGAAAGACAGAUUAUUAAUUGGAUGACUGUAUGCUCAGAGGAA
RNAcentral lists this ribosomal RNA (460 nucleotides) under uncultured bacterium. RNAcentral describes it as "bacterial SSU rRNA". It matches the Rfam family "Bacterial small subunit ribosomal RNA", at positions 28 to 489 of the family's 1533-position model. The record is from RNAcentral.